RNAcentral lists this unclassified non-coding RNA (246 nucleotides) under fungal sp. Its description in RNAcentral is "partial internal transcribed spacer region". The stretch from base 1 to 46 matches the Rfam family "Eukaryotic small subunit ribosomal RNA", at positions 1786 to 1831 of the family's 1831-position model. The record is from RNAcentral. Lineage: Eukaryota; Fungi.
AAGUCGUAACAAGGUUUCCGUAGGUGAACCUGCGGAAGGAUCAUUACAGAAUUGAAAUCGACCGACCCUGUUGAAGCGUGGGCUGGUCUCGAGCGAGUGAGUGAGCGAGCCUGUUUGCUAGCUUGCUAGCUUGCUUGCUGUCUUGCUUGCUCGAGACAAGCAAAAACAAAACAAAACAAUUGAUGAAUGUACCAGUGAAUAUGAAAAAAAGAAAAACAACUUUUAACAAUGGAUCUCUUGGCUCUU